Molecule: long non-coding RNA, 2372 nt
Filed under: Ornithorhynchus anatinus (platypus)
Lineage: Eukaryota; Metazoa; Chordata; Mammalia; Monotremata; Ornithorhynchidae
Description: lncRNA (ENSOANG00000050284.1)
Source: RNAcentral
AUGUCUCACGAAGACAUCCUGACUCUACUGCAACGAGAAGAUGUCCGACGUUCCCUGGUUGGACCCCGGGGGCCCCCGGGACCCCCGGGCCCUGCUGGAGAUGGACUCCAGACCCUGGAUUACUCAGAACUGGCCAACCGGGUCAUCAGCUACUUAAGCAGUCAGUGUCUGUUGGUCGCCUCCUCACUGCCUGGGCGGGGAUGGGGCAGCAGGGGUGGAUGGGUGGGAGGGCGGGCGGGAGCCAGGCCUAAGCUGAUAACUAUUCCAGCAGCUGGCUCUUUACCCCAGAAUUUUCCUUCCCUUUGCUGCCAGGAUGGGUGUGGGCAGCUCCUUCUCCUACCUCUCUGCCUGGGCUCUGGUUACCCCCUUACCCUCUUAGGGUUGGCACCCACCUGGAGAUCUCUGCAUGGUUUCUUGCCUCCAUGUGAACGCCUCUUCCUCUGGGUGACCUCUUUGUGUGUCUGUCUCCAUUUCCGAUUUUGUUGGUGGGUCCUCCCGCCCCGUUUAUACCCCUCGACCUCCUCUUCCAAUUCUGCCGGUGGGACGACAUCCCAUCUUCCCCCUCUGAACUCUCCCACCCCUCACCUUCUAAAGUUCAAUGAAGGUGGCAGCUUCAUGUUGGUGUCUUGAAGAGGCAGCAUUGCCAUUUGUAGUCUCCUGGGGUCUGAACAGCCUUACUAAGGGGUGCCCCGCCCACCAGCUGGUGGGGAGGGGUGGCUGGAAAAGGGGCCCUUCCAGAUUUCUGUGGUUGUGGACUGCGUGGAAGAGAAUCCCAGCCAUCAGCAGUGCCACCUGCAGACAGCAUAAUUCUGGGCAGUAAAGGGGGCAGGAAGGUGGGGUUGACUGUACAGAGUCCUUGAUUCUUCUCUCCUUAGGGUCGGAGCUCAAUGUGGGAAUCCCCGGGCCCCCCGGGCCUCCAGGGCUCCCAGGAACAUCCUACGAGGACCUGCUGUCCAUCCUCCAGGGUGAGCUUUCGGUCCAGCCUCUGCCUCCGGCAUCACCGGCGGAAACCACACCCACUAUGGUGGGGGGAGGAAACGGGGAGCAGGUUGACAAGGGUGCCCUAGAAAUUUACCAAGGCCCUAAGUUCUAAUCCCCACUUCUGUGGCAAGGUGCCAGGUGACUUGGGCCUCAUCACUUAACCUUCCUGGGGCCUUAGUUUCUGCCCCUGAAAAGAGGCAGGAGGAGGUUACAUGCUUCCUGGGGCUUGUUGAAGAAUAUCUCACACUCCUCAUGGAAAACUGGCAGGAGCUACUCCCCCUCUUCCCCUCCCCCAAUCAAUGUCAAUCAAUCGAUGGUAUUUGAGUGCUUGCUUUGUGUAGUACUAAGCGCUUGGGAGAGUAUGAUGUAAAAGAAUUGGCAGACAAGUUCCCUGCCCACGGUGAACUUACAGUGUUCCUUCUGCCCAGGGCCCAGGGCAAGCGCAGUCUGAGGAAACCGUCCCGGCUGGGCUAGGGCAGGGGUGAGGCCGGGGCUACUCUGGGCAUCGCUGGGGGAGGGUGAAGCACCUAGGGGUGAAUCUUUUCUUCCCGCUCAUUUCAGGCUCUGAAUUCAGAGGCAUCGUUGGACCCCCAGGGCCGCCAGGCCCUCCCGGCCCCCAGGGCAGCUCGCUAUCCAGCCUCAGCGUGGAGGACCUCUCCUCCUACCUACAGAGUAAGGGCCGCCCCUGAGGGGAAAGGGUGUGGUGGGCAGAGGGGAAGCGGCCCGGCCAUCCACCGCACUGAGGAGAGGUCUCCUAUGCCCUUGCCCUCUGCGUUGGCAGUCCGGAGCUAGUGGCUACUCAGCCUCCCCAGAAAGGGCAAGGGUUGGGUUGAACACACCUGGGGCAGCAGGCUACGGUCACAGGGGAGGAGGGCAUAGAGGUCACGCUCCUCUCCCCUUCCCUCCCCGCUCUCUCCCCUCUGAGCCCAGAGUCAGCUCUGAACCUCCAGGCCUGCAUCCAUCCUUCUCCACACCCCAUCUUGAUCCCUGGGGUCACUCGACGGCCCCACCCCACCCCACUUUCCCUUCGGUGUGCCCCCUGCCGGCGGGGCUGGGCUAGAGGUUUCAGGCUUUCCUGAGGCCUGGGUUCCCGUUGACCUUUCUCCCGGGCUUCCGCCGGCAGGUGCGGGCUUCUCCUCCAAACCGGGGCCGCCCGGGCCUCCGGGGCCCCCGGGUCCGCAGGGACCCACCUAUUUCUCCGAGGGCCUGACCACGUAUGCGGCUGAGCAGAGCGAUAACUUCAAGAGCGAGCUGAUAGGCUACCUGACAAGUAAGUGGGCAUGGCCAGGCCCCGCCUGCCCUCCCCCCGGCUCGCCCACUUUUCCCCAUUCCCCCCUACUCCCGCCCGCCGCUCCGACUCUUGGUGUGGCCAGGUGGCGGGAGGCUCCAGC